AAGGUAAAAGCGCACGCACGC
Molecule: unclassified non-coding RNA, 21 nt
Filed under: Chlamydomonas reinhardtii
Lineage: Eukaryota; Viridiplantae; Chlorophyta; Chlorophyceae; Chlamydomonadales; Chlamydomonadaceae
Description: small RNA Cre_0137
Source: RNAcentral